Seriola aureovittata is the source of this 1749-nucleotide non-coding RNA. The record is from the annotation of a RefSeq genome assembly. Lineage: Eukaryota; Metazoa; Chordata; Actinopteri; Carangiformes; Carangidae.
AUGGAGUGGCAACAGGAAAACCUCUCUACAUACUGUACCAAUUCAAAGAAAGCUGCAGAGUGUGGAGGGAGUGGAGAAAACCUUCAGUCUAAGCAGGCCAACAAUGUUGACAUCUCUGACAGAGAGUAUGUUGAUCUUCCUGAAGCCCCGGGCCUUCGUUCAAUCACUAGACGCUUCACUGUCCCUAAAAGUCGCUGGAACAAAGGCACAAAUGUCACCUGCAAAGUCAAUCAAGGCUUCUUCAGCAGCUUCAAUGAGGUCACCAUGAGUGCUGAUGGACGUGUGGCAGUGACCAGUAAACUUCCAAUCCCUCAAAAAGAGUGGAAAAGCGGGAAGGUCUUCACUUGUGAAGUGUCUGACAGCUCUCUGAAUGCAAAUGUCAGCAAGAACAUCAGCCUGUGUUCAGUAACUCCAGCAUCAUCUCAGGUAGUUGGUGUAUAUGUUCAGGGACCACCACUCCAGGAGAUUCAGAACAGGGGACAGGUGACUAUCACCUGUCUUCUGGUCGGCCCUCAUCUUAAUGAUUUCUCUAUCACACUUCCUGAAUUUCUAUAUUGAGCCAUCAGUGAGUCACAGUAACAACACAGAGACUUUGCAGAGCUUCUUCAAUAUGUCAACAGAGGAUUGGCACGCAUAUAAACAAGUGUCUUGUGAAGCAAAGCAGCGGUGCUCCAACCAGAGCUACAAACACCAUAUAAGCAAAAGCAGAGACCUGUAUCAACCAAGAGUGAAAUUAUUACAACCAACUCCCUCUGAGCUCUCUACGUCAGACGUCCUCACACUCAUUUGCCUAGUUUCUGGAUAUUCUCCAUCCAAAACAUAGUGUACUGGGAAGAGAAUGACCAGAGACUGCAACCAACUCGCUACACCAACAGUGCUGCAUGGAAAUACCCAGGGAGCAGCACUUAUUCAAUGAGCAGCAGACUAAACGUAUCCAAAACUGAGUUCUACAUAUUCUUGUGCUGUGAGACAUGAGUCAUCUGAAAGGCUUUUUGAAAGCUAUAUAAAUAAUGUGUUUGCCACAGUGACCCACAGCACACCUUCAGCCACCUUGCUCCAGGGCACAAAUGAACUUGUAUGCCUGGUCUUUGGCUUCAGCCCUGCAACCAUUAAUAUCACUUGGUAUGAUGGACCAAAGGAAUCGUUGGACUACAACACUAGUGAGCCCCACAGAGGCCAGAACGGAAAGUUCAGUAUCCAAAGCUACCUUCGUCUGUCCCAGAGCAACUGGUUACGAGGGAAAGUAAUUACCUGCAGGGUGAUGCAUGUAAACACCACCCUAUCCCUGAAUAUAUCUAAACCAGGCAUAUUGGAGCACUGUGACUUCUUUGAUGACAUCAUGCAUGCAGAUUUGAAUGAAAACAUAGGUGUGGAAAGCUGGUAUAUAGCCUUCACUUUCCUUCUCUUUUCUCAUCUCUUUCAUCUAUAGUGACUUGACUACCAUAAUUAAGACUUAAUGAUGAUGAUCACAGGACAGAUCCUAUUUCAUGAUUCAUAUGAGAACUUUGGAUGACAUAUGACCUGAUUAGUUUUAGAUUCCUUUUUUUUCUAAAAUGUCUUUUUCAUUUUCUUUUCUUUUUUUAUACUUUUGUUAUCAUGGAAUUUUAUGGAGGUGGUUUAUUCUAUGCUCAUUUCUUUUGAUGCUUCAGUGUAUUUGCUGUGGAAUGUAUGUAACGCAAAUGCGUAAGAGGAAAAGAAGACAAAAUAAAUGAAGCUUCAAAUUCUGAUUUUCAGACUCAUAUUCUAAUA